UACAGAGGUCUCAAGCGUUGUUCGGAUUCAUUGGGCGUAAAGGGUGCGUAGGCGGCGCGGUAAGUCGGGUGUGAAAUCUCGGGGCUUAACUCUGAAACUGCAUUCGAUACUGCGGUGCUUGAGGACUGGAGAGGAGACUGGAAUUCAUGGUGUAGCAGUGAAAUGCGUAGAGAUCAUGAGGAAGACCAGUGGCGAAGGCGGGUCUCUGGACAGUUCCUGACACUGAGACACGAAGGCCAGGGGAGCAAACGGG
This 253-nucleotide ribosomal RNA is filed under the name uncultured bacterium. RNAcentral describes it as "partial 16S ribosomal RNA". It matches the Rfam family "Bacterial small subunit ribosomal RNA", at positions 524 to 776 of the family's 1533-position model. The record is from RNAcentral.